AUUGAACGCUGGCGGCAGGCCUAACACAUGCAAGUCGAGCGGAUGAAGGUAGCUUUCUCCUGGAUUCAGCGGCGGACGGGUGAGUAAUUCCUAUGAAUCUGCCUGGUAUUGGGGGAUACCGUCCGUAAACGGGCGCUAAUACCGCAUACGUCCUUAGGGAGAACGUUGGUGAUCUUCUGACCUCACGCUCUCAGAUGAGCCUAGGUCGGAUUAGCUAGUUGGUGGGGUAAAGGCCUACCAAGGCGACGAUCCGUAACUGGUCUGAGAGGAUGAUCAGUCACACUGGAACUGAGACACGGUACAGACUCCUACGGGAGGCAGCAGUGGGGAAGAUUGGACAAUGGGCGAAAGCCUGAUCCAGCCAUGCCGCGUGUGUGAAGAAGGUCUUCGGAUUGUAAAGCACUUUAAGUUGGGAGGAAGGGAAGUAAGUGAAUACCUUGCUGUUUUGACGUUACCAACAGAAUAAGCACCGGCUAACUUCGUG
This 484-nucleotide ribosomal RNA is filed under the name uncultured bacterium. RNAcentral describes it as "partial 16S ribosomal RNA". It matches the Rfam family "Bacterial small subunit ribosomal RNA", at positions 30 to 507 of the family's 1533-position model. The record is from RNAcentral.